This 253-nucleotide ribosomal RNA is filed under the name uncultured bacterium. RNAcentral's name for it is "partial 16S ribosomal RNA". It matches the Rfam family "Bacterial small subunit ribosomal RNA", at positions 524 to 776 of the family's 1533-position model. The record is from RNAcentral.
UACGUAGGUGACAAGCGUUGUCCGGAUUUACUGGGCGUAAAGAGCGCGCAGGCGGUCGAUCAAGUCGAGUGUGAAAGCCCCCGGCUCAACUGGGGAGGGUCAUUCGAUACUGAUCGACUCGAAGGCAGGAGAGGGUAGUGGAAUUCCUGGUGUAGCGGUGAAAUGCGUAGAUAUCAGGAGGAACACCUGCGGUGUAGACGGCUUUCUGGACCAUUGUUGACGCUGAGACACGAAAGCGUGGGUAGCAAACAGG